RNAcentral lists this long non-coding RNA (1600 nucleotides) under Nicotiana benthamiana. RNAcentral describes it as "long non-coding RNA (NBEN_LNC005093)". The record is from RNAcentral. Lineage: Eukaryota; Viridiplantae; Streptophyta; Magnoliopsida; Solanales; Solanaceae.
UUUGAAAUCCCUCUCAAUACACAUAGAUCUAGGCCAAAUUCGAAACCCUAGCCGCUCAAUUUUUCCAUUUUUUCUCAAAUUAGUGACAUGCCAAUCAUCCUACCACACAAGCCUCACAUAUUCGUGUAUAUUUCUAGGAUAUCUACACUUCUCGUUUAAUUUAACCCCUAAAAAUCCCUUCCGCCGUCACUACCACCACCCUACUGCCCAACGUCCAACCACCGCUGCUCCACCACCCAAACAACCCCUGAAACUCUUAUUUUGUUUGUAAACAUGACCCCCCAACACCAUUUUCUCUUUAGCAUGAUUUGGAAUUAACCCCGAUAAUGCAGAAAGUUAUUUUUCCCAGCACAUGCCAUUGAGAAACUAGUGCUCGGGUGGUCGAUUUGUUUUUGUUUGCAUCUCCCUUGAGAUUUAAGGAGAGUCGACUUGAUUCGUUUGAUACAAUCCCUAUAACUCUUUUUAUUUUUAUUUCAGUUUCUGAGUGUUUGCUCUUAGUUUCUAGUUUUUGUUUGUUCGUUUUGAUUGAUAGUGUGAUUGAUGAUUAGUCGUCUUUGUUUAGCCUAAUUGUUUAUUAAUUUGUCAUGGACCAAAUUGAUCUUAUUGUCGCUGAAUCGUCAUUUAGUUAGUCGAUAUUUGUUGUUAAAUAACUUACCAACAUUCUUGUAAGUUAUGUUUUAGGAAGUUGUUUCCUAAUUUCAAUUGUAGUUUUUGGUAGUUGCAUAAAUCUGACUUAUCUAAUCUGGUUCAUUGGAUAUUUAGUUUAGUUCCAAAUGAAGCCUUUUGUUGCUUUGUCAGUUUCAUGAUUGGAUUAAGUUUGAGUAUUUGAGUUCGUAUUGACAAAAGCCGAAAUUUAAAAAGGGUUUAGCACAUAGUUGUUUACUUUUACUGUUUAAACAUGCUGGAAAACACAACCGAUCUGCUUUAUGUUAGAAUUUGGUGAAAAGAUGAUUGUUUUGGCACACAAAAGUUAGGCCUUGUGAACAGAUUUUUGGUGAAUCAAAAUAUGUUUUAAAAGGACUUAUUUUUCCCACACAUUUGCUAGACAUUUUACACACUAAAAAAAAUAUAAUUUUAGGAGUAAAAAUCAGCAGCUAAACUUAAAGAAAGUAAGCUGAAAUGAUGAGUUUUAGGAGUGACUCUUAGGGUGUAAAUUUUUAGAAAAGUAUAAGUCUUCUUUAGAGUUCGUUUCUGGGUUUCUUCUUUAAGCUUUCGGACUGUUUAAAUACGAAUUUGCUGCUUGUUUUUUGUUGCUGUUUUACUGCUGUUUCCUGUUGUUUCUAUUGUUGAACUUUCGUUCUUCAUUGAUAUAUUUAUUUUCUGCAAUCCCAGGUAACCCUUAAACUCUGUAAUGUAAUUUAUUUUAUAGCAAUGGAUGAGGAUUUGAGCAUUUUCAAUAUGGAUGGAUGUCGAAGCUUAACCUUGAAAUCGAAUCCGGUGGUUGAAGUAUUAAAUCCAUGACUUUGUUUAAUUCCUUUGUUUAUUUUUCUUUAGCUUAAUAGUUUUUCCUAUGUUAGUUUUAAGUAGUGUUUUCUGGGUAAUGGUUGUAUUUCACAUAAGAAUAUAAAAGUUAUAUAAAGACCUUGGAGUAGGCUAAUUG